GCAUCACCCCCGCCAGCAGGUGAAGAGGUGCCCUUGCAGCAGUUGGAUGUGAGGCCAAGAAGCAGAAGCUAAGGGAGGGGGGCUGGGGCAUCCCUGGAGCUCAGAAGCCAAGGCCCGUGCCUGCCCCAGGGCUGGUGCUGCACAGGCACUGGGGACCGAGGGCAGCUGAUGGGGCCCUGAGCAGGACGUGCCUCUUCCGGACUUGACCACAGAACCCAAGCAUGGUUCAAGCGAUUCUCCUGCCUCAGCCUCCUGUGUAGUUGGGAUUACAGACGCCCACCACGGCACCCAGUCACAGAUGGACUCUGAGAGAGAAAAUAGCACUCCUGUCCAAAUGUCACAUGCCUGGCGGUGGAAUGCAGCCUGGCCUGUGCAUCUGAAUGUCAGAGAGUGCACCUUCCUCUCUUCUUUUGCUUUAUUUCCAGGGAAAGGGAAAGGAAGACAUGCAGUCUCAUUGAAGUCCUUGGGUCACUUUACCCCCACCCUUGGGUAGAUGGACGAUCAGAUGUCUUCCUUCUCAUGCUGGCUGAGACAUCAAACACCAGAGUGGACUUACUUGGCUCCAGUGCUGGUGAUGGGCACUUCUGAGUGAGUGGAAUCUGGGGUGUAUGUAUACUAGUGAAUUUGCUGGUUCUUAGUGCAGGAUCAUUUGAAAAUUUAUUAUUCUGCCAAAUUGAUCAAAUCACUUUGAA
Molecule: long non-coding RNA, 692 nt
Filed under: Pongo abelii (Sumatran orangutan)
Lineage: Eukaryota; Metazoa; Chordata; Mammalia; Primates; Hominidae
Description: lincRNA
Source: RNAcentral